AACGAACGCUGGCGGCAGGCCUAAAACAUGCAAGUCGAACGAUCUAGCAAUAGAUAGUGGCGCACGGGUGAGUAACGCGUGGGAAUAUGCCCUUCACUGCGGAACAACGUCGGGAAACUGACGCCAAUACCGCAUAAUGACUCCGGUCCAAAGAUUUAUCGGUGAAGGAUUAGCCCGCGUCUGAUUAGGUAGUUGGUGAG
RNAcentral lists this ribosomal RNA (200 nucleotides) under uncultured bacterium. Its description in RNAcentral is "partial 16S ribosomal RNA". It matches the Rfam family "Bacterial small subunit ribosomal RNA", at positions 29 to 256 of the family's 1533-position model. The record is from RNAcentral.